CCCCACUGCCGGCUCCGAGCCGGCUGCAACGCCCUUAAGAAUGCCGGAACAUUCGUCAUAGUCACGUCACGACCUCCGCCCUCUUGCCCGCCCUGCCGACCUUGGUAAUGAGCCGGCGGCUCCGCCCCUUCAUGAAUAAUGCAUUACAUCGGGAGCCCCUCCCCCUUUGCGUGUCCCUGGCGCGGCUCCGGGAGGGGUGGGCGCUCGCGCUGAGCGCCGCCCGCGCGGACGACGGCGGCGAGCCCCGAGAGCGCUACCACUCAAGCGGGGGAGGUGACAGCCUUUUAGUAACGCCCUGGAGAUCUGCCGGCCUUCCGGGUGGGGAAGGCACGCAACGGGCUUCCACACUGUGUAUGUCCUCAUGCGGGAUAUACCUGAAAUGAAAUGGUUUUAUUUCGUUUUGCGGCAGCGGGUGCGAUCGGUUUUUAUCUCGGCUGGGAUGGUGGUUUGUUCCGCUGCCUGCCAACCCGUCAGGCGCUGCUUCAGGGAGGCGGGCCGCCCCGCCCCUCCGCCUCGCGCGCUGCUCAUUUGCAUUGACGCAGGGCCGCGUGCCGCGGGUGGGUAGGACGGGGGCGAGGCGCGAGCGCGGCGACACGAGACGGGCGGGUGUCGAGGCCCAGCCACGGGAGCCCCGCCCCUGGCCCCGCCCCUGCGCGCGAGGUUCCCUCAGCGGCCGCCCCGCUCGGCCCGGGGGAGCGGAAGGGCUGGGGUGGCGGUGCCGUGGCCUCCCGUGCCCCCCGUGGGAGGGGGCUGGCGUGGGGUCUCCCUGCACGACUCGGGCACACGAGGCCCCGCGGUGCAGGGGGGUGUCGGAGCUCCCAGGCGAAGCUGCGUGGUCAUCCCUUCCUCUCCACCCAGAUCCUGCCAUCUAACCUUGCCAUUCAUUUGUUGGUCUCUCCAGAGACCCACAUGAGCUUAGACCAAGCCCACAAUGAGGUGUCGUGGAGCCUUUUGAGGUAUUUCCUGGACAGUGUUGAAGGUGGGGUUUUCCCCUUUCCAUGUAGUGGAAGCACAGCUCUUGACGACUAAUGCAAACAAAUAGUUUGGCAAAUACAGAUGUAACGCUGUUACAGAUGUAGAUACUCCUGGAAAGACUGAAACAAGUGAGCUCCCUUUGUGCUCUGGGAAAGCUGUAGUUCAGCAGCGAGAGAAUUAAUACAUGGCUAUUGAAUGUCAGAGUACGUUGGGGAAGUGUCAUUAUAUGCUUGACCUAUUGUACUUUUCUCUAGGCGUCCAUUAGUGGCCACAGUCAAAGACUGGAUGGCUGCUUUCCAUUUGGCCGAUGGACCUUUGAUCUGACCCGGUGUAACAAUUCUUAUUUGUUAAAUCCGUACAUGUUUUUUAUACACAUAUAAAAUGUAGAGGAAAAAAAUUGGUUCAGCAUCUGCAGUCAUCUCUGAUGUGAUCGUGAACCUACGUGGGCGUGUGUGUUUGAGUAUCCGUGCCAUCUUGCGGGGUUAAGAUGAAAAUACAUUUGCAGCAUAGAAGAAUAAUUGAUCCACGUUUAUCUUUGCUGUCUUAUUGCUUAGUACUCCAGAAUUAUUCAUUAGAUUGGCAUCUGUUUUGAGAGCUCUGCAGCCGUCUGCCUUAUGAGUGGUAAAAAAUAGAGUGCAGACCACAGCCCUACAGAUGAUCACAUGCUGAGUAAAGGUUGCCGGCCAAGUAAUGUUUCCUCUCUGAACAGCGAGUUGCUUCACAGCACAGUCCCCAUAAACAUUAGUUUUGUGAGCCACAGAACUGGUAGCGUCUGGCUUCCCUUUGCGCUCAUGUCAUACGCCUGACGUUGGGCUAUGCGCAAGCCUGAACAGAAGGUGUGCUCUACCUGGGGCCUUCUGGGGUGUCUGGCAAGGGUGGAAGUGAUGCUGCACUGUGUCGCUCCUGUGAUCAGCUGCCGAUUUCUACAGAGUUUGCAGGGACCCAGUUGUUUUUUUCUUGUGAGCAGUUGGCUUCUCUGCCCCUCACCUUUAAAUCAAGUCCAAAUUCUUGUGAUUCUUCCUUCAAAACAGUUGUUGUGACAUUUGUGAGUAGUGUUUUUAAAUUGACUGAAAGACAAGAGUACUCACAUGGUCUAUGACAGCUUCUCUCUACCAUGUUAGCCAUCUACCCCAAUCAUACACGUUUAUUGAAACAACAUCCAUGGGGUGAAUCUCAGCUACUUUUAACCAUGUAAAAAGUAAGCAUCCGCUCUGCAUUAGCUGCCUAAUCUUCUACAAACAUGAGACAGGUGCUACCAAAGGAUGAUUCACCCCACGCUAAUGCAGGUACCUUUAGAGAGAGAAACCUGUUCUCUGUGUUUUUGAGGAAAGCUUCUGGCUAUAUCUUGCUGCAGAAUCCAGGAGGUCUUUGGUCCUGUGGCAUAUGCUUUUUGACGGUUACGAGCAAGAACAGCUGUACCAAGUCAAACCAAGAAUCUUUCAGGCUGUGUAUCCUGUUUCUUCUACCUCUGAUAAAAGACCCCUUGGUGUCUGCUAUGGUUGUAAAUUCUGUUCUCCUUCACCAAAUCAAGCGUCUUAACUGGCACUUUGGUGCCAUCUAGAAGUGCUGAGUCCUGUCCUUGGACAUGUUUUUUUUCGCUUUCCAGUUCCUAGUUUCUUGAUUUUUGACCAUUUGGCCUGUGCACUCUCUUCCUUCAAUGUUUUUUGUUUGUUUUUUUUUUUUUUCUCCCUCAUAGUCCCUUGAUUUCUUCCUGAUUUAUCUUAGCUGCCUCUUUCCAGGGAAGGUUUGAGAGCUUUUUUGGAUUGGGCUACUAGGAAGGUAAUAGUGUCUGACAAUGGAUGCCUAAACAAAUGUGUAAUAACAGGCUAAGCGUGUAUAAUGCUUCCUUCAGUUACUUCAACCAUUUGUAGUUCAGGAUCUUCCUAGAUUUGCCUUCCCAGACCUUAGGUAGUGGGAUGCUUGGACUUCACAUUCCCUGGUUGUCACUGGAAAGUGACAGUGUGUUUGGGCCUGAAGAAGAGGGGACACUGGCAGAGCCCCUCAUCUGAGCGACUUGGAGAAGAGAGAGUCACCCAGCUGGGGUGGGUUGCUUAGACUAGACAACAAACAUUACAGGAGGUGGAUGCCAAGCCAUAUGCAAUAUCGCUGUACGUAAUACGUAAAUCAAAAAAAACCCCUGUUGCAAACCAAGCUGUCAGUAUGGUAAACCCAAAUAUACCAAAGUUCUUUUGGCCAUUAAUCAACCUGCUUCUGUGUAUUUAUUGCAACAAAAGUGCAAGGCAUCAACCUCACCUAGGAGACCUACGGCAGAGCUGGGGCUGACAACUCUCCUGGGUUUGUCAGUGCCUGAAAGACAAUGAUCGUCUUAUUUGUCUGGUGUUCUGCACCAUCCACUCUGCUAAAUUUUGUGUGGCAAAUUGAACCAGCAAUACUAUAGAAGAGAAAAUAUAAAGACAAAUCACAAUAAACUGCAAGGAUUACAAAGCAGCUCUUCUGGCUGCCAUUUCGGUGACAUGAAAGGGAUCAUCAAGGCAGCAGCUUCUGAAUUUUGCCCCUGACUGGUUAUAAUUUCUUCUAGAAAUUACCAUGCACAGCUUAAGUUAUUUUCUUUUUAUAAACCUAGGGGAAUAACAUCUGUGAUUUGCCUAUGUUAGUGACAGGAUAUUAUAUAUGAGAAAGGAUUUUGGCCCACCAUUCUAUUUUUCUGCUUGAACAAAGAAAAACUUUUAGCAGUUAAAGGAACUGAAAGGGAUUGUGCUGAGAUGCUGCCUGCUUCAGAGCACUCUGUGAGCUUAGCUUAUUUAAAAAGUGUAUGUUCUUGGGGAUAGGGUCCAUACUGUUUCCUUAUCAGACAGCACUAAACAAUUGUUACAGUUUUUGGGAGCUAAAAUAAAUCACAAAACAGAUAAAAAUUUAGAUACAGUACAUAGACUUCUACGUACAUGCAGAGUUACUUCAGUGCUUCCUUAUUUUGUAAAUUAACAUGAAUGCCAGAAUAUCAGGAGCCUAAAGUAUACAAAGGAAAAUAACUCUGCUGCUAGAAUCUGCUGUUUUCCUCCUAUUAGCUAGUUGGAAAAGCACUGUGGCAGUGAUUUUGAAUAUGGGCUGCAAAUAACAUGUGUAGAUGAAAAUGAUCUUUGCUUCCAUUCCAAUACUAAUAGCAGCUUUUCUGGUGAUUUUUUGCAUGUUAUAGUUAAAAGUAAAUGUGGCCGCAAAUAGUACCGACUUUAAAAAAACCUUUUUAUUGUGGAGUGGCUCAGUGCAGAGACUCAUCCGCUGCUUGUAACGCAACAAAUUGUUCUCUCCACAGCCCACAAUAUUUAUAGGCCUUUCAUCAUUUACAGUGAUUUACUACUCUGUUUGACCCCUCUUCCAAGGCUCUACAGCUACAAGAAAAGCAGGGGGUUUUAUAUGAGUUUCUUGUUUUCUCUUUACUGUUUCAUCUUUCCUUUUCUCUUUCCCACAUCUUCUCCUCUUGGGCUCUUUUUCAGGACUCUGUAGGUAGCUCUGUCUGUCCUGAGGGCUCUGCUAAGAGAUCCGUUUCCAUCUCCCCUGUGAUCAGGCUGUUUAGGGAAGUUCAGAGUCUGCUGUCCCGUGGGCUGUGACGUGUCGGCUUCGUUCCUCAGUUUAAGUUUCGAAACGGGCUUGUGUAUGCAUUCCAGGAACAGCACAUUGUUCUAACUGGUAACAAAAAUAUACUAUUCAUGUACUUUUGCUAGAGCUGCUUCCUCUUAACCUUAAAGCUGAUUUUUGUUAAUGACUCUUUCCUCCUGUGGAAAUGUGGAAAACAGCCUGGGACUGCAGGUUAUUCAUAGAGAGAAACAGAUGAUGAGUCUUGACAUUUCACAGGAAAAAGAGGUCUGAAGAUUUAUAUCAAUGUGUUUCAUUUACAGUUUAUUCUUGAUUUUCUUAAACUCUGAUAAUAUUAAUAAUGCAUUCUUAGGAAGGAGAUAGGUGAGUCUUUUUCUGCAGUGAGUGGUCAGUUGAGUCACAGUAGCUUUCUUUUUUAUUUUUUUUUUUUCCAUGGUGUAUUUUCUCAUUAAAAGAAAAAAUAUUAAUUGUCCAGAUAUAGCAAAAUUGGGAGAGAAACCUUUGAUCAUUGUUUGUUGGAAUUAAAUUAAAAGCAGUGGGAAAAUUUAACACCGGGGAUUGAGAUUGGUUUAUUCUGUUCUUCCCAUGCCCAUGUUAUGUUUUUGUUUGUUUGUUUUUAAAGCUAAAAAUCUUAAAAUUCACAAGAGAUGGGCAGCUUUCUUCCUUUAUUCAGAGCCUGACUUACAUUAGGAGAGCUGUGCUGCCUGCUGGACUUGACGGAUAUGGGUUCUGGUCACAAGAAUGCAAAGCAGUGAUUUAUUCUGCUUUUUCUCCUUUUUGCCCUGGAGUUUAACCAGUACAUUAGACUAAAAUUUUCUUGCUUGCUAGUGGCAGUUUCUGUUUCUUUUUUGUUUUGGGGUUUUUUUGGUAGUGGAAGUCAUUAGAGUUUCUCCCAGGAGAGUAACUGCCAAAGUAAACAAACAUCUUCAUGAAAGGAAAAUAAUGUCUGUGGAGUAUUCAGAAUUCCGUGCUUUACAGAAGAGUAUUUAUGGCAACCAACUAGUGAAUUAAAGUGAAUGAAAUCCUAUUUCUAGUUUGCUGCUUCUGCUGUGCUAAUUGAAUGUGGCAAUUUCUGCUAGUUUCUCAGCUAUGCAGUGCAAGCUCUGGAUGUUAGUUGUAAUUUAGCAUGAAGGAAAAUACGAGUUGAAACUCAGUUUAGAAAAAACUAUAUAUAUUUUUUUUAUUGUAGGGAAUUGAAUAGUGCAUGUAAACCUCUGGGGAAUUGCUAUUGUCUCCAAAAUGUUCUGCAUCUGGUUGGCAAGAACAACAAGGACAGAAGAAAGUUCAGCUAAAAAAUUCAUAAAGGCUGUCUGGUGGAAUGCAUUACAGUCAGCUGGACACCUCUGUGCUCUUAUCCCUCUGAACUGAUAAUUUUUAGCUGAGAUGAAACAUUCUGAGGAACCGGAGGCUGGCAGAUUUGCAGCAUAGAUUGUUUGAAGGUUUAAAUACUGUGACUAUCUCAUCUUACAGUACGUCUGUAGAUAUAAUGUAAGCUGGAGUUGUUGAAAAGUGAUAGAAUGGCUCUGUGUGUACAGCCUACAAAACUGUGAAGAGCUUCUGUUCUGUGUGCCACAGCGUCCUGCACGCUUUCCACCUCCUGUCCAGGAUAGCAAUAACUCACCAGUGGAGCAAAUACCCUUCACAUUUUUUGAGGAUGAGACCAUAUCUAGUACUUUGUUUAAGCAGUGACUUUUACAAAGAGGACCAGUGCUAACUGGGAGCUGCUGCCAACACCAUCAUAUGUUUCAUGACAAAUGUGAAGUGUUCAAAAAGUUGGCACUACGAAAUAGAGACAUUGUCAAUCUCUGUUUAAUUCUCAAAAUGGCUUGUAGGAUUGUAAAGCUUGUGUUGUUGCUGGUGCACUCACAUACCAGAUAGCGGUUUUUAACAGCCCUUGUAAUAUGACUGCUUAAUUUGGUUAUAUUACUAGCACAUAAACCAAAACUAUUCCAAGGAUAGAGAAUACUAAAGUUUUACUGCUGAUUUUUUUCCUAUGUGCUGUGUGCAGAAGAAGAGUUUGUCCAGCAGUGUGUGCUGCUAUAGUCAGAACACAGUAUUUUCUCCUUUUCUAUGUACAGUUCAGAUGCAGCUGCCACUAUUUACCAAACACGAAGGCGUUGUUCACAGCUCUGAGACUAAGUUUGGCUUCUGCCCUAAAGAAUGCAUGAGACAUUUAUAUUAACGGCACCAAUGUUCAGUGUAUAUUCAUGUACCUGAAUGUUGUGACGUAGGUGGCACCUGGGAGUUUUGAGGAAUGAUCUUGGUGAUCAUUGUAUAGGUCUCCCAAAACUCAUGUGACAGACCUGUGCUAAGAAUAACUGCAUGAUGCUUCCAGCAUUGGAACAAUCUGAUCGGAAGGGUAGUGUACUGUAGUCUGACUACACUUAGGAGACGAGGUAGAAGACCCAAGGAGAGUCUGGAAAUUUUUGAGCAAGGAGGUUUUGAAAUGGAGUUCAUUGAAUCCUGCAGGAAGCCCUUAUUGAAGAUGUAGCAGGAGGAAGCAACCCAUAUCUGUAGCUAGGUCUACCCCUCUGCAGGAUUGUAUGAACCACGUAGCAAGUAAAACAGAAGGAAUGUAUGUUUGUACCUCAGCGGGCUGUUAAAGUAAGUGCUUUAAAUUGCUACAAGAAGAUUGAUUAAAGUUUACCUAUUAAAUCUCUGAAAGGUGAUAGAGGAGCAGGUUCCCCUUCUGAGCCAUGGCAUCUGUGUUGUACUAAAAGCAAAGGCAACCUAUCUGAUUAAUAUGUGAAAAUACAUUAUUUUGUACUUGACCUUAUUUGCUCUUUGAGUGCAAGAUGGAUGUUCACUAAUUUUACACCACCACCCACUGUUUCAAUAAAAUUGUUUUCAACAGAUUUUCUAAGAAAUUUGCUGCUUUAAUUAAUAUGGAAUUAUCUCAGAAAUUAUCAGUACAGACCCUUCAGAUUCAUCAUAGAACUAAAAUUAAUCAAACUUUUCUGUAUAGGCUCGAAUUGAAGAAAUUCAGAUUAAACUAAGAAGACCAUUAACCAAAUAAUUGUGGCUAGUUCUGACUGUAUAUCCAGUAACCAAGGUGGGGUCAACGACUCUGAGGCUGGCUAUUGCAAUGUCUGGACUCAGGCAGCAAGGAGCAGCUGGGUGGCUGGAGGGUAGGAUGCUCUCCUUCCCAUUUUGUGUGGGCGUGCAGCAGCUUUUGCAAAACACUCCAGCAUCCGUGGCAGUAAUGAUGCAACUGGCCUGGCAAUGAGGCUGUGCCUUGGGCAGGUGGAAGGGGCAGACCUGGAGGCAACGCAGAAUCAUAGAAUCAUUUCAGUUGGAAGAGACCCUCAGGAUCAUCAAGUCCAGUCAUAACCUCACUCCAGCACUAAACCAUGUCCCUAUGAACCUCCUCUGAAAGCCUUUUAAACACCUCCAGGGAUGGUGACGCCACCACUUCCCUGGACAGCCUGUUCCAAUCAUGACAACCCUUUCUGUGAAGAAUUUUUUCUUAAUAUCCAAUCUAAACCUCCCCUGGUGCAACUUGACACCAUUUCCUCUUGUCCUAUCACUUGCUACUUGGGAGAAGAGACCAACCCCCCCCAUGCUACAACCUCCUCUCAGGUAGUUGCAGACAGCGAUAAGGUCUCCCCUCAGCCUCCUUUUCUCCAGGCCAAACAGCCCCAGCUCCCUCAGCCGCUCCUCAUCACACUUGUGCUCCAGGCCCCUCACCAGCUUCAUCGCCUCCUCUGCACUCUCUCUAGUACCUCAAUGUCCUUCUUAUGAUGAGGCACCCAAAACUGAACACAGGAUUCAAGGUGGGGCCUCACCAAGAAUUGAACUCAGCUCUUCCAUACAGCGAAUGAUGCUCCCUCAACACUUGGCUUUUGGUUAGCCAUGGCCCAGCCAUCGUCCCCACCCCUGGCUUUUAUUAUUUUUUUUUUAACUUGCUAAGUUGAAUUUCUGAGCAGUGUAGUGUGGCUGAUACUGAAGCUUUCACUUAUUUUCCUGUUGUACUCCCUUCUCCUUCUAAAUAUGCCCAGCUUUAGCUGGGACUCAGAAACAAGAAGUCUUGAGUUGUCUCAAAAUGAUUUACAUCUCUGAUCUAACGAACAAUUGUAAAUCAGUGUUAAACUUCAUCGCUUUUGACCAUUCAUGCUAUUAUGAUGAUACAAAGACACUGAAAAAUAAUAUGCCAGUUUUGCCCUGUAUAUUUUGAUUACUACCCUGAUUCUCAGAAAAUAAGACAGGGUCUUAUAUUAAUUUUUUGCUCCAAAAAAUUAGUUAGGGCUUAUUUUCAGAGGAUGUCUUAUUUUUCCAUGAACAACAAUCUACAUUUAUUUUUGAACAAAAAAAUCAACAUUUAUUAAAGUGUUGUCAUGUCAUCACAUUCUGGAACAUCAUCAUAACUCUCCAAACCCUGAAUUCCAUCGUGAAUUUCUUGUGUCUCCACUUCCUUUAGAACCAUUGGCCCCAAUUUCUCCUGUCUAGCAAUAGUGCUUUCCUUAAAUGAGCACCUCUCUCCAUGUAGCCUGCUUGUAGCAUAUUGGCAACGCAAAUGUCAGUUGUCUGUCAGGUGUCUGCUUCUUUUGGUGAAGGGUCUAUCUGUUCUGCUGCAUUCUAUUGCCAAUUAGUUUUACUUUUUUACAUGUAUAGCUGCCUGGAUGCUAUUUAAAUUCACUUUUUUUUUUAAUGAACUGUAACUAGGGCUUAUAUUUCAAGCAUCCUCAAAAAUCCUGAAAAGUCAUGCUAGGGCUUAUUGUUGGGAUAGGUCUUGGGGAAACAAUGUAAAACCAUAUAAUCUGUGUCAUUCUUUUUUAGUGCUUGUGUAUAACCUUUUUAAUAAUUGUAAAGAAAAGAAAUACAAGAAGAAUCCCUGCCAAGAAACAUAUGUAAAAGUUGAAUGCAUUAAAAUAUUCAUGUGAAAGUAUCUUAGAAGUAAAUUAGCUAUAGAAAAGAACAAGUGAAACCUAGGAUAUGUAUGGAGAAUAUUGCACUUCAAUAAAGUAAAAUAUAUUAAAAAAGAAAACACACAGUUAAAGUCAUCCAGACAACCUUAAUUUUCAUCUAUAAUGAGAACCUGAGGGAAAUGUGGAGUUAAAUUUAGUUUAUUUCUGCAGACUAUAACAUUUUAACCCUUUAUUCACAGUUUUACUUAAAAGAAUUAUAGUUGCUUGGAUGCCCAAAUUGUUGACUCCUCCACCUUCAUAUGUUUAGCUUUUUUAUAAGUUUAAACUAACUCUGAGCCCUGGAAGUUGUGCCUUCUAACCACAGAGCUACAAGGUGAAGGAACUAGGGUAAGAUCAGACCUAUUAUAUCCAUCUUUUAUAUGGAGAAUACAAAGUCUACUGUAAUUCUGUCAUUUCCUUUCUCAUUAUGGCAUUGAGAGCUCAGAUUCAUUUCUAUGCAGUGGCACAAAACAGUUUGCCACUUAAGUAUCGCUUACAGGAGGUACUUUGCAAAAUUGAUGAUCCCAUAUGCCACAAAUCAAUUGUACCCGUGCCAUUAAAAUGGAAAAUUGCCUAGAUCUUUAAAAAUUCCUAAAUCUUGGUAAAUAUCCUUGAGUAAUUGUCCUAUCAUUUUGGGUCAGUGUGCUUUGACCAGAGGUUAGUCAAAAUGAACCAUCUGAGGAACCUUUGUUUUCAUCUUUGUAACAAUUUUUUUUGUGCAUGCUUAUAUAGUAUGUUGUAACUGAAGAGCAGAAAACCUCAUAAAACUUCUACAUUAGGAAAGCAAAGGGUGCUUUUUUUUUUUCCCCCCCCCCUCUCUCCCAAAUAACCUCUCUUUUCAACGUUGAAAGGUCUUCUUUAUAUGAGGAGUUUACCAGGGACUAUAGUAGUAUAAUUAUGCCUUCUGGAUGCUUUUUAAUCUUGCAUGAAUGCCUGUAGAAUUCAAGCAUCCACAUGGGGAGUUGUACCAUCAGAACUAUAGGGGCGUAAUUAUGCUGGUGAAUUCUGUAUGAAGACAAAUCCUUUAUGAAAGGGAAUUUUAUUUUGGCUCUUCACUUCUCAUUUCAUUCAUGUUCUGAAAUAAAACGAGUUGAUCAAAUCAAUGAAAGUAAUGAAAAUUCAAUGGUUAUCAAGUAGACUGUCAAGUGCUGGGGAAAUUGGAAAGUAAUAAAUAUAUACAUUUCCUGAUAACAUUCAUGUGCAGUUUCAUUCUUAUUCUCUCACCAGUGUUGAGUUUGUGAGAGGUUUAGUGAAAGGUUAAUAAACAGGGUCUGUUCUUUGCUGAGACUCACAAGCUAAUACACCCAAUAGCUAAACACUGGUAGAAUAUUAGAGAUUCUUAGUUCUCAUAAAAAGCAGCUGGGGUUUCAGGCAAAUAUGACACUGGGGAAUUACCUGAAUACUUUUAGUCUCUGUAAGACCUGUGAAGCCAUCACUGAGCAGAUCAGCCAUUGAAUUUCUAUGUAUGCAUCCCCAUAUCCCAGUUAAAUUGUAGUUCCUUAAAUAUGUGAGUCCAACGACAGUGGUCAAAAUGUUCUUUACAGAAAUAGACCAUUUACAUGAAAAUAUUUUUCCAUAUGUCCAUAAGGGAGUAGUAACACUUUAACAAUUAUUUAUAAAAUGUGCUUAGAGUGAAUUAAAAGUAUAUCUCAAUGUAAUUGCUGCAUAGACAUUAGGACAAGGAGACCCUGAUCAUUUUGGUGAUGUAAUCUAGGCCAACCUUAGCACUGACCACAGAGCAUCACGCUGUAAGUCUUGCUUGAGACCAUUAUUUCACAGUGAACUUCAUUAGAAAGACAUCUGGUUCAUAUUUAAAGAGUUCAAAGAGUCCACCACAUCUGUACCAACACUCACUGCUCAGGUGAAGUGUUUUAUUUGUGGUCUGAAUUUAGCUUUGACUUAACUUGUUGACUCUUCACUGGUUUAAAAAAGCCUUUAGCACUGGACAUUAUUCAAUGAAAAUGCUUAAAGGCUGGGAUCAAGGCAUCUCAGCUCUCUUUUGUUAAACAAAUCUCAUUGAGGUGCUUUAGUUUCUAACUGUAAGGCAAGAUUUCUGUAUCACCAGUUUUUCCUGUAGUUUCUUUCAAGUUUUCAAACAUCCUUCUUAAGUAAGGUCGUCAGGGCUGUCAGCAACGCUAUUACUAAUGAGAGAAUUAGUAACGCACAAAAGCAUGCUCUACCAUUUCUGUUUUUGAAGCAUGGAGGAAGACAUAAGGGCAAAUAUAUUGCUUCUACCAAAAUUUUAGUUUUUCAUGGUUUUUGUUACAAGCCUUUUAUGAAAGAUGACGUCUAAGGGCUUCCAUUGGAUAUUGGGCUUUUCCAAGGCAGGUUUAGUAGAGGAACACAGCAAGGUGAUAUCUUGCUGUGAUAACCAGAAUACUUGGGUUUGCCUGGGGCAGUGUUGUGUACAAGGGCAGUACUUCUCUCCUGCUUCAUAUUCUUUUUAUCUGCUAAGCUUUCUUUUAAAGUUGAAAAUACAGUCUCCAUUUUUGUAAAUAUUGUUUGCUUUUUGUUCCUACAUGUAUCACCACAUUUUUUUAUCAUUAAUAAAGUAUACAUUUGUCACAUGAGCAUGGAUUAAAGUGAAGUGGGUUACAAGAUAGCACGGCUAUGCCAUUUUCUCUGUUCUCUGCCAGUUUUUCACCUGUAAAAUUUCCUGGUCCUGAUUUUUGUUUUCAUCAAAGCAUGGCCAUGUAUCUUCACCCAAUAUAGUCACCCAAGUUAGUGAGAAGAAAUAGUCCAAAAAGUCUUUUCCUGUGAGCUCACUGUUGAAAUGUUGCAAAUGGAAGAUGGGUCUGGUUUUGGCUAUCAGCAGAAGUUUGUGGGUUAUCUAUUUUGUAAUUAAUGUAGAACACAGAGCAUAGUGCUGGCAUGGUAAUCACUGUCAUGCUAUGGUUAGGUAAGUCUUUUAUAAGCAUAUGGGUGUGUGGUUUUGCAGUUGUAUCCCAUUACUCUGAAGCUGUUUCAGGCCUACUGGGUAGGCAAACUGAAACAAAAUAUUUAAAUGUCCUUCUACUUAGCAAUAGUUUCCAGUUUUGAACUCUCCUCUCCAGAGCAGGCUGUGUGCUAGUCAUGGUAAUGCCUUAGCUAGAAUUUUUUUGACAGCCUGAAAAGAAUGGGAUCAGUUUGAUUGUGGUUGUGUGGGUCUGUGUGUGGGGCAGGAGCACUACAGAAAUGCACAGGAAAGGGGUCAAGGAAGCCCACCAGCCUCAGGACUGCUAGCAAGGUGACCCUGAGAAAGAGAUGCUUGAAAUUGUAAGUAAAGAAACGGACUCCGCUGUUUGCUUCCUACUGUGUUUGGGGAAACAGCAUAUGGUAUAUGUGGUUUGUAAAUAAAUAGGAUUGCAUUGGAUAAUGCCUAUCAACAAUUCAAGGCAUAAGGUGCAGGAGAUCGAAUAUUAGUUAAUUGUUUCUAUCUAUGUUUACUGAAAAAGUUUAUAGCAGUAUCUUAGAAAGUCCUCAGUGAAGGUAAAUGUAGAGAUAACACAUUGAUGAAACUGAACUAAAACUACACGGCAAGUCUGCUUUUCAGUCUAAUAGCACUGAGCGUUCUUGUUUGGUUUUUGUUUUCUAGUCAGAGCAAAACCUUGAUAGUUGCCGAAUCAUAAAGAAAAGCCUGGGUUAGAAGGGAGCUCUGGAGAUCAUCUGCCCCAAGCUCCUGUUGAAAGAAGCACCUUAGAUGAGAUUAUAUGGGGCCCAUCAAGCUCAGUGGUUUCCAGGGGGUGUUCCCACUUUUCUUGCCAACCUGUUCGAAGUUUGCUUGCUCUCAUGGUGAAUAAUUUCUUCUUAUACUUGGAUGCAUUUCCCCAGAUGGCUUGUGCCUGUAGCCUCUUGCCACUGGGCAUCUUUCUGAAGAGAAUCUCCAUCAUCUCUGUAACAACCAUUUAAGUGUUGAAAGACUGUUUCAACACCCAGCUGUUUCUUCUCCGUGGUCAACAAACCUAAUUCUUUCAACCUUUUUUCAUCUGUGAAAUUCUCCAGUUGUCUAAUAAUCUUAAUGGUCCUCUGCUAGACCCUCUCCAAUUUUUAAACUUUUAUUUCAAUCUAGAAGGACCAAGACUGGACACAGUAUUCCAGAUGUGGCCUAAUAAAUGCUGAGGAGAGUGGAAUCACUACAGCCUUUGGUCUCGUGGCUGCAGACUCACCAAGGCAGCCCACAACACCAUCCGUCUUCAUUGCCCCAAGACCACCAGGCUGGUUCAUGUUCAGCUUGUGAUCUACCAGUACUCCUAGGUCUUUUUAACCCCAAUAAUACAGUUUCGUUUUUGACUACAUAUAAUGAAACCAGAGUACAGAAGUUCACAAAGCCUCAGGAAGAAAAGGGAGGUGCUCUCGUUUUCCCCUAAAGCCUUCAGCACUCACCCAUAGUCUGGGAGAUCUGUGUUCAGUUCUUCCCUUCUUUUGAAGAGCUGGACCUGUGUUGCUCACACCCCUGAGCGCUCCCCUCGGGAGGAGGCUGUAACAAGCCACAACAUAUUCUGGGGUUCCUUCAAACUCCCCUGUUGCGGUGGUGAUAUUUUUUGUUUAAUAUACUUUUGAUGUUUCUUAGACUAGGGACUACAGGUGUCAUACCUCCUCAGGGAUUGUCGUUUGUGCACUCUCUUCUCAUUCUGGUUCAGAAAUGCAAAAGUCCAGAGAAAUUCUCCAAAACUUUAGAGAAAAAAACUGUGUUUGCCCAGCUCCAGUGUGAUCCUUACGACAUACUAGGUCUUUGUGUUUGGUUUCUUUCCUUUGAUGUGAAUGAACUUGCCUGGAGUUAAGUGAUUCGUCAUGACUUGAAUGGCUCUGUCUUGGUAGUGCUGGUGAGUAAGUAGGGGCUACCUGGAUUUAUUUAGGUUUUUUAAAGGUACUUAUUGUAAUAUUUUUUGCUUUGAACAUGAUGAUUCUCGUUGUACCUCAUAUAGCUUUAUUUAUACUCUACAGUAUAGUAACUUGUGGGAUAAAAAAUCUAUUUGCUUUAUUUUAGAGGAGCCAGGAAAUAUCUAAAAAUAUUUUCAAGUAACACAGGAUAAUUUAAAUGUAAUUAGUAUGUUAAAGGGAAAUAAUAUUUCCAUUAUUUCCAUAGGGAAAUAAUAUUUCCAUAUUUCCCAAUAAUAUUUCCAUUUAAAGAUAAUUCUUUAAAAAGUCCAUUCAAAAUACUAAAUUAUAUUUAAUUUGGGAUUUCUAGUGCAGCAUGAAAAUGGGAUGAAUUUCCCUCCAUUUUACUAGCAGCAAAACAGAACGUGUGACUGGUGGGCAUUUGUUACAGGACAAAUUCUUUUGCAAUGGAGAGCACCACUUCUAGGACUUGUCCACAAUUAUGAGGAAAAGAUGUGUUGCCAUGAGGACUUCUUCUGAACAUCAUUAGGCAAAAGAAUGCCUUAAAUUUUCUAAAGAUCUAAUCUCAGGAAAAUCUCAAGGAUACCAUAAGAUGGAAACGUCUGCAUGGAGCAUGAGAUAAAUGAGUGUUGCACUUUCUGAUGAUUGAGCAGUGUCAGCCGCUGAUUACCAAAACCUCAUGGGUACUGCAGUACCCUCUGCUUUGUGGAAACAAACUUUGGCACAAGGUAUUAUUAUGUGAAACAUAAAAUAGACUGGUUCUUCAGAAUAACUUGUUUCCCUAACUGAGUGCUAAAAGGAGAAGUUUUAAUGGAAAAUGGGACUUCUCAAGGAAAUCCUGCUGGGUAUUCUAAAGGCUAUGCUUUAAUGAGCACACAAGUAAGUUACCUUGGAGAGGAAAGCUAGCCUAGUCAAGAAUGCACAAAAGUGAUAAUUAAACAAGAAAUCAAUAUGUUAAGUGUGGAAAAGGAGGGCAUAACUGGGAAUGAAAAUUGAAUCUACAAAAUGCAAAUCGCUUGUAGAGAAGAUAAAGGUAAUAAGAAAUUAUUACUGGGCAGUAGAGCUUAAGACAAUAAGAAGGAAUUAUCAAUGUAUUAGGAACAAAAGAAUGACUAAAUCAAGUAUAGAUUUUGGUCUUGCAGAAAAAGACAGAACAGAUCCAAUGGCUGCAAAUCAAAGCUUGAAAAAUUCAAUCACUAUCAAGAUGCAGCGGGGGUGAUUACACACAGGAAUAAUUUCCCAGUGUAGGUAGGUGGUAAGCUUGCCAUUGCUAGGAAUUUAAUCCAAUUGGAUACACUUUAAUCUGACUCUGGGAACAGACUUGUGAGCAUCUCUGUGGAUGGCUGUGGAGGUCAUUUCUUCUCUGCAAUCUGUACAUCUGCGAAUUUAUAUUUGUCCUUUGUCACUCCCUUCUUUCGUAAGCUGUGGAGGAGAACAGAAAGCUCUCAUUGCCCUCAACGUGUUCCACACACUCAGCUCUGUGUUAAGACAAGGACUGAAAAAAAAUCUUGUGCUUCAGGGCUACAGCUGGCUGCCUGCAGAAGGUGAGAGGCCGAUUCCCUGGGUUAAUUCUGCAUUUUUAAAUUUCAUUUUUCUCUGCAGCUGUAGCGUUGGGCAUAAAUGGUCAUAAAACCUUGGAGAGCUGAGGCCAAUUCUCUGCAGUGUGUCCUCUCUUUGAGACGGCUGCUGUCUUCCAGAUGACUGGGGGAUCAGACGGUUUCCUCCCUAAGUCAUGUAGCAAGGACUUGGAGGUCUUUUUGCUUCCCCUUUCCUUAUGACAUCUAUGCAUAUCUGAGACUGUAAUUAUGAUCAUUUGGGCAUAUCUCAUAUAAUCAACUCACUAUCAUUACUGGAGCCUGGGACAGAGGCAUCACAGCCUUUUUUGGUGUUCAUAUUACCUUGAUUUCUUCAAGACUGAUUUUUUUUUUCCUUUUUUAAAUAACCCCGCUCACUUGGGAAAGCAGCAGUAUGUCACGCACAAGACAGUAGCUUGCCUGUUCUGGUUUAAAUUCUACUGAUUUCUAGAGAUCUUGCCAGGUUAAUUUUGCUGCAGUAAGAGUCAUAGGUGACAAAUACUGUUCCUUUUUUCAAAAGAGGCUGAUGCCAGCUGUGCUGCCUGAUGGGGUUGCAGAGCUGCCUGGGUGCCAGUUUGCUGGGUUUGCUGCCUGCGUGCAGCAGCUGACAAAGGGUUUGUUGUGCUUGCAGCAGUGUUGCCUCCGAGUCUGUCUUUCCUUCUGCAGCCAUCCCUGCCUUUUGUUUAAAAAACCUGCCCCUCUAAAAUGAAAAUAAGAAACCUUGCUAAUGUUACAGUGCUGGAGAGGGAGGAUGCAAUAGCUUUUCUGACUGUUUUGAUUCUGUUGAAUUGCAAGUGGCAGCGAGUGAAAGGAGGGAUGUCAGGAGUUACUGGCAGCCAGGUUACCUGUUGCCAUCUCCUAAGAGGAGAACGGGUCUGGCAGGGCUCUGCCUGGUGGCUGUGCUGGCUGGUGGCUCUGCCCUUACACUGCUCUCUGUGGCACACAUGUGAAAGUACUCACAUGCUUCAUGAUGAUCCUGCUCUCCAUAUGGGAAGCUGAGGUUCUCAACAGACAUCUAUUAUCAUCCUGCAAAGCUGUGAAAAGAGACCUGCUGUUUCGUCAAUGUCACUGUUUUCUUCUUAAGCAUGUGACAGAAAGGCUGCCUCCAUCCUACAUGAGGCAUUAGGUAUUCUUUUUGUGGCUGCAAUGGAUGGACAUGUUUUCAAUUACUACUUGUGUGCAAGUGGAUUUGGCACUUGCUUAUGUAAAUAGACAUAUUGGCUUAUCACGUAAGUCACCUUACAUAUCAUCUGUUGUAUGGUUUAUCAUAUCUCAUUGGUUUGCAUCAGGUAUAACUUUGGCUUACGACAUAUAUAUUGUUAAUCAUAUAUCAUGGGCUUAUCUUGUAUCCAUCCGCUAACAGGUGACUGAAUACCUCCUGUCUGUAGCUCUUUGUUCUUGUACAGAGGUUUGUACAAAGGAGCUGCAGGCAAAGGUGAGUCCAGCUGGAAAACUGGAGGUAGACAGAUUGAGAGAGAUGAAGGGAAAAACCCAACAGAUACGGAUUAUUCCAUGAAUGACGGAACUAAUGAGAACUGGUUUGCUCCUGCUUUGUAUCUCUUGAGGUGCGACACACCAUGUUCGUCACACUGAAGUGCCCUGUACCAUGGUACCUUCCAAUCUUUCUGUGUCCUCAUAGUGAGAUUCCUUACUUGCCCUUAGCUCCUCUGCCAUGGUGUCUGGUGUCACACUUUGUUUUUUCCAUGGCUUCCAGCUACCAUUGUUUGGCCUAAUGACUGGGAAUGGCCCAGCAGAUGCUGUUCUGGAGCUGCAUGCAUUCAACGUAGCCAACCUGUACGUGUCUAGCAUGGUCAGCAGCUGCUACCAUUGGAACCUGAUUGACUGCCCUUCUCUGCUAGCAAUAAAAUUAAUGGCUUUGGGAGCUGCCUUCCAUGAUGUGCUGAAUGUUGUACAGGUCUGUUGUAAGAACUUACUGUUUUAAAAAUAUCUCUCUGUUCAAUUUGGUUGAAGCUGAACAGACUUGACAGAGAGACAGUGUGAUGCACGCAAGCUUCAUUUCCUCAGGAAGCCAAGCUGAAAAAAAAAAUCUGCCUAGGAAAAUUUUCAGCCAACAUUUGAAAAGCUUGCUGCUAAUUAUCAAAAUGAAGAAGCAGAGUGUGCUCACGUAGUGUUGAUCCAAACCAUCGGAAUCAAUCUCUCAAUAGACAGACCUGCUGAAAAUAAUAUGUAAAACACAUCAGACUUGUGUGCUGUGUGACUUUCCUUUUUAGCUUCGGUAUCUGACCUCGUCGCAAUAAUUUCCAACCCUAAAAAUCACCCUCCCUUACCCAAACUCUACAGGAUAUACACAAGUUAAAAGGAGCAUUUUAUUCCUAAGGCGUCAGAGAACCGCUCUCUUCAAGGUUGUUUAUUCAGAGUGAGGAAAUCAAACCAGGUCAGCCUGAAUUAGGGUGACGUUCUUCGGAGUGCCCGUGUUCCUGGAGCUCGUGGGGCUCAGCAUCUCUGGAGGCCUCUUGCCCCGCAAGGUCUCCCGCUGCCAACCCCUCCUCUUGGCCUUUGCUGCUCACGGACCUCCUGCCCUGUGUCAGACUAUCUGCACAUGAUUUGCAAAGUGCUUUUGGAUCCACUGGUAUGAAAAGAUGAAGAAGUAAAAUACAUGUUUCUUGUAUCACUGUUUCUGGUGCUGUAAAGUCGGUAUUUUAAAGGCUUUAAAGUUUCUGGAAAUGGAAUUUUGAUUUAUUCUGAGAACCAGCCUUCUGGUGUUUAUUCGCUUGCCGUCUACCUUCUGAAGGUCGGUGGAACUACAGCUUUUACAAAUCAUCCCUUGUAUUUUGGGUUAAUCCAGGCCUUCCUGCACUUUACUCUGUUGUUGUAAAUGCAGUUUAUAAUUUAUACAGAAUGUGGCUCAUCUACCCUGUGACUAGGAAAUGUUAAAAUAAAGCAUUCAGUCAUAGUUUAUGCAUCUGGUGAUGCAGACUGGGGUUUUUAAAAGAACCCAGAAGAAUUAGGCAUUCAAAUUUCAUUAAAAUGCUGUGGAAGUGAAGCAUAGAAACUCUAUUAAAAAGCUCAGUCAUUUUCUGUGACUCUUGUUUUUAAUCCAGUUUAAUUUGUGCAUAAGCUUGCUUGGGGGAGAGAAGUGGACGAGGCUGGUUUUGCACACCUUGCCUUCUUGUUCGUGCUGAGGAGCAGCCCUGCCUUAGAGCUUGAGCACGCUGCGGCUGUCUCACCUCCUCCAGUUUUAAAUGCAGCUUCAUCUACCUAUUUAACUAUUGGGUUUAUAAUUAAAACAUUAUUUUUAUAACCAUUUCAAUUAAUACAAAUUUCUGAUCAAUAAAACUGUUCAUAUAAAUAGUCUGGUGAAUAUGAUUUUUAAAAUGUAUUAUCUAUCUAUCUAUCUAUCUAUAUUACAUCAUGGGAAUGAUUUGUACCUUUUCAUGCUUUGAAAUGUUCAGGGAGACAAAACUGAAAAAAAGUCACUUCAGAAAAUAAAAUUGUACUGUGGAAUGUAGAAUCAUUGCAUAUAUUGCUUUUAAAUGCAAUGCAACAUGACUGAAGAUUACAUGUAAUAUACUGUCAGAUGUCUAAAAGAACACAAAAGCUUCCUCUAUAUGCAAGAAUCAAUAAAGUACAGUAUGAUAGAUACAAUAAAGGACAAGAUGAGAAGUCAGUUGUGUACACAGUCACAUGAAGAAGAGUAAGUAGAGAGUGGAGUUGGGCUGAAGGGAUUGCUGCAGCAGUGCAGAAUAUGCUUGCUGGAGGAAGGAGUUAAUAAUUGUUCCAGCAAUGUGCAGCCCCUAUUUAUUGCAAGAGAGAAUUAAUGGCUUUCCUGACUGGAGCUGAAAAUAGAAGCCAAAUUUGAGUUGUUUCUUGAAGGCAGAUGUAAUUAGAUCAUGAAACUUCUGGCUUUUGGGUCUAAAUAAUAGGAUAAGACUGGCCACACUAAAUCAGAGCAGGGUACGCUCUCUUAACUGUUUCUCAGGGGUGAGAACAGGACAUGCAUGAUCUGAUACUUUCCCAAAUUCCAGAUGAGCAUAAUGCACAUACUACUUAAACUGUAGAUUUAAGUGCAUGAUAUAUUUAUCAGCCCUUGCUAAAUACUUUCUCUGUAGAUUGUUCUAAUUAUUUAUUAAACUCACUUAUAUUUUUCUUAGCCACAACGUACUUGUAGCAAUGAACUAUACAGUGUAGUUAUGAAUUGUGUGAAAAAAUAUUUCUGUGUGAUUUAAAUGGGACUGUUUGGUGCCUGCUAAAUCUUGCGAUAUGAGAAAUAGUGAACAAUUGUUCCCUAUGUGCUAUCCAUGCUAUUCUCAAUUUUAUAUACAGCUAUUUCCUCUUAGUAGUCUGUUUUCCAAGUUGAAAAGUACUUUUAUCCAUCCCCAUGCAGUUAUAGUGAUACACUGCUAUUCGUCUAUGUUGUCCAGCAUAUGCCAUUCCUACUUCUAAUAAACCUUUGGAUAUGGGUCAGUCAGACCGAGGUGAAUUAUUUUGGAUGUGAAUGCAGUCUGGAUUUAUACCAUGGUGUAAUAUUUUUUCAUUUGACUUUUCGUUCUCACAUAACGAUUUGUAACAUUUAGUUUGCUUUUUCUGUCUGCCAGUGAGCACUGGACAAAUCUUUUCAGAGGGCUCUCAAGAAGGAGUCUGAGAUUCUUUCUGAAGUGAUCUAGUGAUGUGUAAAGAAGCCCCUUUGGAGAGCCAAACCACAACAUUAUGGAACAGACAGCUACGUUUGGGUUUGAUUCUGAACAAAACCUUGCUCUUCGUUGCAUAAGCUUUAUUAAAAGAGAUAAAAUAAUUACUAUACAAAUGUUAAAUGGAUAUCUCCUCUCUUGAUGACAAUUAUGCUUAUGGCAAGAAUAUUAGCGUCAAUUGUAAUGCCUGAAAAUGUUACGAGAACUUCAAGAAAUCAAAAUCUGUCUACAUAUUGUGAGCUGAUGCCUCCAGGGUAAUGUGUGGAGGAAAAAGAGGGUUCAGCUCUUUCAGAAUAAGAAAGAUUGUGGUAAUAAAGUUUAUGUUAGCUUCAUCUUAGCUGAUACUGAAGACCAGAAUAAUUUGCAAGAGAAAUUUGAAUGUAAAUAUUGUCAGCAUUUUUUCACACUUUUUCAUCGUGAAACAGAAACCAUGGAAUGUAAUGAGAAGGAAGUUAAGAAACUCCCUCUCAGGAUACCAUGAGCUUCUUACAUAUCACCACACCCUGUCAGCAAUAAACAGAUCUCUUAAUUGCAUAUAAUCUGGAUUUCUUUAAAUAUUGUACUGCAAGCACCAGGCCAAAUUCUGUUUAGCAGCAAUGUUCACAGUUGCUCCUUGGAUCCAAAACCUCCUGAGGUCAGAAUUUUAUUAUCAUUUCUUUAGCUUAGUAGCAGAUUUUCCCCUCUCAGUUUUGAGGGCUGUUGGGUUUUUUAUUUGCUUAAAGAAAAAGAAGAGGAGAGAAAAGAGAAAUAAAUAACAGCUCUAAACAUUGAGGUAUUAGCUAUAGACCUGACUUAUGAUGGCAGUGGAAAUUUCCCUAUACUUCCGUCCUUGAAGAGAGCAACAUUUAGGGGGUAAGAAUAGGCCCAGUAUUACGUUCAUUGCCGUUCGAUCUCUUCUUGGAGCCAUGAGCAAAAGCACCAAUACUCUUUUUUGGAAUAAAAUGGACUUUGAGACUGAUUUCUCAUUGAUCUCUAAAUACCCGAUCAGUAGUAACUUCUGGUUUACCUGAAUUGGACUAGGACCGACAGGGUGGAACUGGGACACUUUGCUGGAACUGGGACACUUUGCUGGAAAUCUGGCUCCCAGUUUGCCAGUACGUUGUUGAAAAGUUUUAUCAAGUUGGUUUUUAUCUCAGUCUUUUUUGUGAGAUUUAUUUGCAUAAUUCAUUCCUUACUGAAAAUUUGAUUUCUCAGCAACUCUAUUGCUUUUUGUAACUCUGCUGUGAAUGAAGCAAGCCUUCGAAUUAUUCUUCUGUUUUUAUUUUCUUUGCAUAUUCCUAUUUAUAGGUAGGGAUGGGCCCAACUGCCCACCUUUUGAUAAGUAAAGAAUAAAACAGUUGAAUUCUAUCAGAUCUGUCAGAGUAAAUCUAAGAGAACAUGUUGUUUUUAGUCCUACUUACUUUUUGGAUAAAAGCUGUUUCGACGGAAAAAGAUCAACAUAUAACUGAAAUUAAGCCCUUCACAAUCCCUACUCUGCCAUGUAAUUCAUAAAUUAAUGGAUCAUGAAAAGACCUUAAAAGAGUUUUAUCCUUCAGAAAUAAUACCUUUAUAUGUGCAGUGCCUAUAUCCCAGAAAACCUUGUGUUGAAUUUGCCUGGAAUCCUUUUGAGAAAGGAUGAAAGAACCAUAAAAUAAUUUUAUGUUGCUUAGUGCCCAAAUGUUAUAAAUGACUAACACAGUCUGAGCAAAACAGUAAAUCUAAUCUUUUGCAACAUGUAUAUUUAACAGUCAUAAAAUCUACUUCUGAGUUUGUUGAUAUCAGACUUUUCUUUUAGAUGCUGUAUGCCAUAUAUCCAAAUUACUUAGACCUCUGAGUAAAGCUAAUUUUUCUUCCUAGAACCAAAUGUAUAAUUUCCAAGGUGACAAGAAAUCUCCCACAGAAAUUGUAGAAUAAUAGAAUCAAGCAAACGCUUGCUAUUCAAAAUGGAUUUACCACCACAGUAUCUGAAAACCUUAUCGUAAGGGUAAUAAGCAAAGCGUGACUGUUCAUCUGUCUUUUUUUUUUUAAUCCACUCUGCAGAGGAAGAAACUUGCGUGUUAGAAUAACGUGGGUCUAUUUUGAUGAGUUUUUUCCAAUAACAUGUAUUGUGAUAUGCAAAUAUGUAUGUAAAUGAAGAAAUAUGCUUUGCAUUUGGGAUAGAAGGAAGUCAAGACCUUUUCUGAUUUUUAUAAUAUCUUCAGAACUGAACCUCAGGAAAGCCCUAGAAUUCUUUUCCCACAAUGAGUUCUAAUUUUACUGUGUAGCUUUCAUUGUGUGAGUCUUGACUAUGGUCUCUUCUCUGGAAAUUCAUUGAUAUUGGUCCCAGGCCACGGAAUGCCUUACAGCACGAGACUCGGCACAUUCAUAAUUCUGUGGGGAGCUGGGUAGAAAUCCAAAGCCCGGUGAGCUGUGGUUGCGAUGGCUUCUCUUGCAGAGGUGAUCUGCUGUGCUCCUGGCUCGCCAGACUCGCCGAGCUGCUGCAAAGUCCCUUGCGCAGGGUAAGUCCUGUAGCUGGGGUCAAGGUGAGCUCUGACAUGAAUAACCACGUCAGGUCAUUGUCUGUCAACCCAGCAGGGAGUCUCAGACACGGCUGGAGUUGGGAUGGAUGUUGCCACGUGAGAGCUUCCCAGCUCUGAGGAAUGCAGCAGUGAUCCUGGAGUAUGGACGGAGCUGGCAAAUCACACCACCAUAGAUUUUGUGUUUAGUUAUGCUUCAUCUCAUGUAAAAAUGUAAUUGACUGAAAAAAAAAAAAAAAGAGUACAUCCUGUUUUUAUAGGACUGAAAUUGUAAUCUCUGAACAAAGGCUUUGGAAACACAAACUUGUGCCAUUAAACUGCUUCUAUGUGGCA
Molecule: long non-coding RNA, 23300 nt
Organism: Columba livia (rock pigeon)
Lineage: Eukaryota; Metazoa; Chordata; Aves; Columbiformes; Columbidae
Exons: 2
Source: RefSeq, a predicted model, not a curated record